UGUCACGUGUCACCUCUUAGCCUCGGGACCCGGAGCUCCAGGAAGGAAGUUCGGAUAGAACUUUAUCUAUUCCAUUUCCUUGGAACCUUUGGACCUCAGGACCCCAACAUCAUGAUCUCCAUUUCUGCACAGAUGCUGGUAGUCUUCAUUUCACUGCUUUUGGUUCUGCCUGGUGUGGAAGCAGUAGAAGCCGGAGAUGCAAUUGCUCUCUUGUUAGGUGUAGUCCUCAGCAUCACAGGCAUUUGUGCUUGCUUAGGGGUGUAUGCGAGAAAGAGAAAUGGACAGAUGUGACUUUUGCAAGGCUCCUUGGAUGGCAGACUUCACCCUGACACCCUCAAAACCUUUACUGAAGAUUGAUCCUCAAAGUUCCCGGCAAACCUAAAUAGGAUGAUUUCACAUUUGUAGUCUUUUCCCAUAAAAUGGGAACAAAUAGAGAUAUAUUAAAUGUGGUGGGAGAGGAAUUUUUAUAACAAAUAAUGCACUAAAAAAAUGCAGCCUGUCAUUUAUAUUCACUGCUUAAAAAAAAAGAAGAAAGAAAGAAGGCUUAAGUUUGUAAAAGUAGUAUUUCAUAAACAUUUUAAAAGCAUGUGAAGUGGAAAGAAGGAAGCUUUGUUCCAGAAUCUGGCAAAUCACCAUGGUUUAGUUAUAAUCACUGCCUCCUGAAUUGUUGAGGAACUCUUUACUCAGUGUUUGUAUUAGAUUACUUUUGUUUUAAUCUGUUAAAGUUAAUAUUUUACUUAGAUAUUGAAUAGCCAAAAAUUGAAACUUUUAUCUCUGGGGUGGGGAAGGGGAAGUUUAAAAAAAUGUAUUCAAGCUAUUAUUGAAAUGGAUGAGAUUUAAUGUAAAGAAAACAAAAAAUACCC
Dipodomys ordii (Ord's kangaroo rat) is the source of this 863-nucleotide long non-coding RNA. RefSeq lists it as uncharacterized. The transcript is spliced from 2 exons. The record is from RefSeq and is a predicted model, not a curated record. Lineage: Eukaryota; Metazoa; Chordata; Mammalia; Rodentia; Heteromyidae.